AGUGAACGCUGGCGGUAGGCCUAACACAUGCAAGUCGAACGGCAGCACAGUAAGAGCUUGCUCUUACGGGUGGCGAGUGGCGGACGGGUGAGGAAUACAUCGGAAUCUACUUUUUCGUGGGGGAUAACGUAGGGAAACUUACGCUAAUACCGCAUACGACCUACGGGUGAAAGCAGGGGAUCUUCGGACCUUGCGCGAUUGAAUGAGCCGAUGUCGGAUUAGCUAGUUGGCGGGGUAAAGGCCCACCAAGGCGACGAUCCGUAGCUGGUCUGAGAGGAUGAUCAGCCACACUGGAACUGAGACACGGUCCAGACUCCUACGGGAGGCGGCAGUGGGGAAUAUUGGACAAUGGGCGCAAGCCUGAUCCAGCCAUACCGCGUGGGUGAAGAAGGCCUUCGGGUUGUAAAGCCCUUUUGUUGGGAAAGAAAAGCAGCAGGUUAAUACCCCGCUGUUCUGACGGAACCCAAAGAAUAAGCACCGGCUAACUUCGUG
RNAcentral lists this ribosomal RNA (492 nucleotides) under uncultured bacterium. RNAcentral's name for it is "partial 16S ribosomal RNA". It matches the Rfam family "Bacterial small subunit ribosomal RNA", at positions 29 to 507 of the family's 1533-position model. The record is from RNAcentral.